CUUCUUUUACAACAGCAUUGCCAGUAAGAAUAUCUUGAACUGUUUCAGCACCUAGCUGGCUUUGACUCCUUCUUUUGUAAAAGGCAGUACUAGCUGGAGCAGUGGAUCUCCUGAUUUGCAGCUUUGAUGGUCCUUUUGAAACCGUUGCUUCAGGGUAGUCAGAUCGUUAGAUCGUUAGGUUUUUGAGGAAUUUUUGGAUCUUUCUUUCUUAAUUCCUCCAACCUUUUGUAGGUUGACCUGACCACAUCUUCUUUCCAUCUAGCAAUCUGUCUUUUUGUACCAAAAUCAGCAACAACCAGUUCUUCUUUCAUUCUCUUCAGUUCCAUUUGCUUAUCAGGUACAUUCUUUCUGAACUUUGCCCAAUCAGGAGGAGUGUGAGUGACUUUCCUUUUUAUCAUGUCUUGAAUUCUUGCAGCUUCAACUUCAAGCUCAGGAACAAUCCACUCUUUGUAC
RNAcentral lists this long non-coding RNA (453 nucleotides) under Helianthus annuus (common sunflower). The record is from RNAcentral. Lineage: Eukaryota; Viridiplantae; Streptophyta; Magnoliopsida; Asterales; Asteraceae.